UUCAGUCUCAAUGGGGGCACUGGGGCUGGAGGGCAGGGGUGGGAGGCUCCAGGGGAGGGGUUCCCUCCUGCUAGCUGUGGCAGGAGCCACUUCUCUGGUGACCUUGUUGCUGGCGGUGCCUAUCACUGUCCUGGCUGUGCUGGCCUUAGUGCCCCAGGAUCAGGGAGGACUGGUGAGUGGCUGCAACAGGCCCUGGUGGAGAGUUGUAUCUU
RNAcentral lists this long non-coding RNA (212 nucleotides) under Homo sapiens (human). RNAcentral describes it as "non-protein coding lnc-NCR3-1:1". Lineage: Eukaryota; Metazoa; Chordata; Mammalia; Primates; Hominidae. The record is from RNAcentral.